Molecule: non-coding RNA, 3046 nt
Organism: Macaca mulatta (Rhesus monkey)
Lineage: Eukaryota; Metazoa; Chordata; Mammalia; Primates; Cercopithecidae
Source: RefSeq, a predicted model, not a curated record
GACAGAGCGAGACACCGUCUCAAAACACAAACAAACAAAAAAAACAUAACAUUGCACAAAAACACAUCACAGAAGAAUAUGUAUAAUAUAGUACCAUCUAUACAAAGGCCAAAGCAGGUAAAAUUAAUAUAUUAUCAGAAAUCCAUAAAUAGGAAGUAAAGCUAUAAAGAAAAACAAAGAACAAGUACCAUAAAUUUCAGGAUUGUUGCCUCUUGGUGGCGGGGAGAAGGAGAUGUGAUCAAGAAGGACACGAAGGUGUCAAAUACUGGCAGUGUUUUGUUACUUAACGUGGGAGCCUGAGUAUUCAUUUUAUUAUUAUUUAUGCCAAUUAUAAAUGUUGUCAUCUACUUCUUUAAAUGUAUGAUUUAUAAGUUUGUUUUCUCAAAAAAGAUGAGUCAAAUUUUAACAUUUUAUUUCGUUCUUGAGAUCCAAGUAUCCCUAUCUUCUGAGGGUAGCCUUUAUGCAGAGACACCUAUGAGGAAACGCAACAUGCAGAGUUUCCAGAUCCAUAGACGAUGCUGCCAAAGAGUAAAAAAGAAAUAAAACAAGAUAAAAUAAAAAUCAGAAAAAACUAUUGGUUGAACUUUUUUUUUUUAAAGUUGGCAUCAUAUAUGUGAACUGACACUCAAGGCCUUUUACCACCUGAACCCAAUCUUUCUUUCUAGGCAGAUGAUAUCCCAGAACUUCCCAGUGGGACCUUUUUCCUUGUUAGAUGUGAUUCCUUGGCCAAGCCUUACAUUUCCCCUGUUUGUGCUGUGAUUUUCUCAUUCCAUUUACCUGCAUUUCCCACCCUCUUGCUGACCGAACAUCUUAGUUUGACCCUUUCUGGGAAGCCACCUCCAUAACCUUUGUCUGAGGUGUCCUGACUAUCUUUCUUGAGCUCUCAACAACUGCCAAUUUAAUUCUCCUAGCAGUUAACUUUGUGUGUCUUAUAACAACUGCAUUUUCACCAGCCAGACCCCUUUCCCUCCUGGGCAGAUAGCUUGACUUUAUUUUCUGUCUUCCCAUGCAGGUAGAUGAUUGAGUUCUAUCUACCAGAAGCAUAUGCCUCCUGGAAGCCUGGUUAUAAUACCUCCCACAAAAUCCUUCAAAUGCUUUUUAUUGUUCUCCUAAGUGUUGCUUAUGGGGGACCCAGCGAAGUACUUCAGAGCCCUAGAGACUUGCUGAGUCAUAUGAGUGGUCAGCAAACUUUUCCUGUAAAGGGUCAGGGAACCAACGUCUCACUCGGGCCUCUGAUAUUGUAACUGUGGGCCUUUAAGAAACAACAGAAAAACCCAGCUGAAUAAAAACUGCCCUCCUCUGCGGCUGCCCUGAUGGAAGGGGCUCAGGAGCAACAGCCUUCGUGGUGCCCACCCUCUGGGCCAGAACAGCAGAUGCCCCACAUCUGAGUCUAGUGCCUCCAAGAAGCACAGGGUUGUUGCAAAUUAAUUGUUGGGAUCGCAAGGAAGAUCGCAAGGAAUAAGGUGCAUCCUUAAUCCCAAAAGACAGCUGCCCUUAGAAGAGAAAAUAAACACAGAGAGGACACCGUCCGAAGACACAGACACAUGGAGAAGAUGACCAUGUAAUCAAGAGUCAGAGACUGAAGUUUUGUGCUGGAAAUCAAGGAAUGCCUGGGGCUCCUAGAGGUGGACCAGACAAGCAAGGCUCCUCUCCCACAGGCUUGGGAGGCAGCAUGGCCCUGGCAACAUGCAAUUCCCUUUUCAAAUGCUGAGGGUUGACACUCUACUCCCUCAACCAGGGGCCAAAUAUUUGCCUUAAAAAUGAAACUAAAGGAAAAACAAGAUUUUUGUAAUAAAAACCAGCUGUAUAGCAAAUGGGAUGAAAUGUAUCAUUCUAUUGCAGUUCUCUAGUUGGACUUAUAUAAUAUUGUAGUAAAGUCAUCAAAAGUACUGUAGGAGGAAAAUUUUUUACCAUGAUGUUGUGCUCCUGGCCACUGUAAAUUUGCAAGUUUAAGCAAGCAUCAUUCAAUAAUUUUAAAAUACUUUCCUCCCCCAGCUUUUUUUUUUGCAGCAGUAGGAGCAUGCCUCUGAGGCACUGUGAAGAAUCUGAUAGUUGAACUGAAGCCAAUUCCAGUCUUUAUGGAAAAAUUUACACAACACUUCCAGGUGGGCAGAUUCAAAGACAGGAUGAAUCAUGGCCCAGUGCACUGGCUCCUGGCUGUAAUCCUAGCACUUUGGGAGGCCGAGGCAGGGGGACUGCUUAAGGCCAGGAAUUCAAGACAAAUCUGGGCAACAUAGUGAGACCCCGUCUCUACAAAAAGUUUUUAAAAAAUUAGCCAGGUGUGGUGGUCUGUUCCUGUAGUCCCAGCUACUCAAGAGGCUGAGGUGGGAGGGUCACUUGAGCCCAGGAGUUUGAGGUUACAGCAAGCUAUGAUCGCGCAUCACUGCACACUAGCCUGGGUGACAGAGCAAGAACCUGUGACCCCCCUCCUCCUUAAAAAAAAAAAUAGGAUGAAUCAGUGUCAAAAUUAUGAAGAAAAAUAUUCUAGGUUCUUAAUUCCCAAGGUCUGCGUGUCCAAAAUGGUAAGAGCUCAGAGGGUACAAAUUCAAAAUGUAUUAAUUGCUACAAUUAAUCUUUAGUGACUGCAUUUGAAAAAUCUGAAAUCACGUGAAAAACAGUUGUAUAUGUGUAUAUAUGUACGUGCUUGCAUAUGUGUGUGUGACCUGACAAAUUUUAUUAUGAGGUCCUUUAUAAGGCUACUGUAUCAAGUCCUUCAGUUUAUACCAAAUGUCUCCUCAUAAAUCAGUAAACCUCUUCAUUUGUUCCUUGAUAAUGUAAGAGCAAUUUCUUUAGAAGUCAUAUACUGUCCUAUAACUGCAGCUUUCUCUUUGUCUCAUCUGUACACAAUACAUAGAAUUAAGCACAAAGAAGCAAAUGGACGUACCAAAAACAAAGAGCAAACUUUGCGGGGAGUUACGUGCAGGGUCUGAGAGCAUUUCCUGUCUCAUAGAUAGGAAGCAUUUGCACCACGGCUUGUCAUCUGCGCUGUCGGGCCCAGUGUCUCCUAACUUCCUGAAAUAAAACCAAACUAAGCAAAACAAUAAAA